This 255-nucleotide ribosomal RNA is filed under the name uncultured bacterium. RNAcentral describes it as "partial 16S ribosomal RNA". It matches the Rfam family "Bacterial small subunit ribosomal RNA", at positions 15 to 263 of the family's 1533-position model. The record is from RNAcentral.
GAUCCUGGCUCAGGACGAACGCUGGCGGCGUGCCUAACACAUGCAAGUCGAGCGGAGACAGUGAGUAGCUUGCUAUGAACUGUUUUAGCGGCGGACGGGUGAGUAACGCGUGAGCAACCUUUCCCAGACAGGGGAAUAACACACCGAAAGGUGUACUAAUACCGCAUAAGACCACGGGAUCACAUGGUUCUGGGGUAAAGGAAUUAUCGGUUUGGGGUGGGCUCGCGUCCGAUUAGGUAGUUGGUGAGGUAACGG